AAAUGCCAUCUUCUUACUGAUUUGCUGGGAACUUGAUAGAAUAAAGAUUUGCUUGGCACGAAGCCCCCAAGUAUUU
Non-coding RNA from Prunus avium (sweet cherry), 76 nucleotides. The record is from RefSeq and is a predicted model, not a curated record. NCBI's taxonomy places the organism in Eukaryota, Viridiplantae, Streptophyta, Magnoliopsida, Rosales, Rosaceae.